UGCCACUGCUGGUCCCACCUGACCCCAUGCCGAACUCAGAAGUGAAACGCCGUAGCGCCGAUGGUAGUGUGGGGUCUCCCCAUGCGAGAGUAGGGAACUGCCAGGC
This 106-nucleotide ribosomal RNA is filed under the name Escherichia coli. The record is from RNAcentral. Lineage: Bacteria; Pseudomonadati; Pseudomonadota; Gammaproteobacteria; Enterobacterales; Enterobacteriaceae.